RNAcentral lists this transfer RNA (87 nucleotides) under Cordylochernes scorpioides. RNAcentral's name for it is "tRNA-Tyr". Lineage: Eukaryota; Metazoa; Arthropoda; Arachnida; Pseudoscorpiones; Chernetidae. The record is from RNAcentral.
UCCCUCGAGCCGGAUUUCACCCAGCGACCUAAGGAUCACCGUUGUAACAUCUACAGUCCUCCGCUCUGCCAACUGAGCUAUCGAGGG